UCAAGGCUCGCGUUCUACGGGGAACUUUUUUGACUAUUUACCUUCGCCGGAAGCAAAGGGCGAAAACUCCAAAACUAGUAAGGGUGCUUGUGUUGUGGUUUUGAGUUCCUUGGCUUGUGUUCUAAUAGUAACCACAGGAAGAAAGCGGGGAGCAUGGUCCCUAGUCUCGUUUUUGCCGAGCCUGAUUCUCUAUGGCAUGGACUUGAUUGGAUGGAGACAGAUAUAUAGAAAGUGUGCAGUGAGGGUGCUUGUAAAUCACUAGGUAGCCUAGCUCGACCCAAGCAAUGCCCAAAAGUCCCAUGCCUUUCUUGGUCGGACCAACCCAACCGGCGAUUUCCGACAAGUCUUUCUGAAUUGGAAGAGCAAGAAGCGGAACUAGAAGAAAACUUUCUUUCUCUUUAUGGAUAACCAAUUCAUUU
This 419-nucleotide long non-coding RNA is filed under the name Solanum tuberosum (potato). RNAcentral's name for it is "long non-coding RNA (STUB_LNC005746)". Lineage: Eukaryota; Viridiplantae; Streptophyta; Magnoliopsida; Solanales; Solanaceae. The record is from RNAcentral.